RNAcentral lists this ribosomal RNA (414 nucleotides) under Paracoccus marcusii. Its description in RNAcentral is "bacterial SSU rRNA". It matches the Rfam family "Bacterial small subunit ribosomal RNA", at positions 29 to 487 of the family's 1533-position model. The record is from RNAcentral. Lineage: Bacteria; Pseudomonadati; Pseudomonadota; Alphaproteobacteria; Rhodobacterales; Paracoccaceae.
AACGAACGCUGGCGGCAGGCUUAACACAUGCAAGUCGAGCGAGACCUUCGGGUCUAGCGGCGGACGGGUGAGUAACGCGUGGGAACGUGCCCUUCUCUACGGAAUAGCCCCGGGAAACUGGGAGUAAUACCGUAUACGCCCUUUGGGGGAAAGAUUUAUCGGAGAAGGAUCGGCCCGCGUUGGAUUAGGUAGUUGGUGGGGUAAUGGCCCACCAAGCCGACGAUCCAUAGCUGGUUUGAGAGGAUGAUCAGCCACACUGGGACUGAGACACGGCCCAGACUCCUACGGGAGGCAGCAGUGGGGAAUCUUAGACAAUGGGGGCAACCCUGAUCUAGCCAUGCCGCGUGAGUGAUGAAGGCCUUAGGGUUGUAAAGCUCUUUCAGCUGGGAAGAUAAAUGACGGACCAAGCAGAGA